Molecule: ribosomal RNA, 548 nt
Filed under: uncultured Bifidobacterium sp.
Lineage: Bacteria; Bacillati; Actinomycetota; Actinomycetes; Bifidobacteriales; Bifidobacteriaceae
Description: bacterial SSU rRNA
Rfam family: Bacterial small subunit ribosomal RNA
Source: RNAcentral
CUCCUGGAAACGGGUGGUAAUGCCGGAUGUUCCAGUUGAUCGCAUGGUCUUCUGGGAAAGCUUUCGCGGUAUGGGAUGGGGUCGCGUCCUAUCAGCUUGACGGCGGGGUAACGGCCCACCGUGGCUUCGACGGGUAGCCGGCCUGAGAGGGCGACCGGCCACAUUGGGACUGAGAUACGGCCCAGACUCCUACGGGAGGCAGCAGUGGGGAAUAUUGCACAAUGGGCGCAAGCCUGAUGCAGCGACGCCGCGUGAGGGAUGGAGGCCUUCGGGUUGUAAACCUCUUUUAUCGGGGAGCAAGCGUGAGUGAGUUUACCCGUUGAAUAAGCACCGGCUAACUACGUGCCAGCAGCCGCGGUAAUACGUAGGGUGCAAGCGUUAUCCGGAAUUAUUGGGCGUAAAGGGCUCGUAGGCGGUUCGUCGCGUCCGGUGUGAAAGCCCAUCGCUUAACGGUGGAUCCGCGCCGGGUACGGGCGGGCUUGAGUGCGGUAGGGGAGACUGGAAUUCCCGGUGUAACGGUGGAAUGUGUAGAUAUCGGGAAGAACACC